RNAcentral lists this ribosomal RNA (253 nucleotides) under uncultured bacterium. Its description in RNAcentral is "partial 16S ribosomal RNA". It matches the Rfam family "Bacterial small subunit ribosomal RNA", at positions 524 to 776 of the family's 1533-position model. The record is from RNAcentral.
GACGGAGGAUGCAAGCGUUAUCAGGAAUUAUUGGGCGUGAAGCGUUCGCAGGUGGCUGAUCAAGUCUGCUGGCAAAGACCGGGGCUUAACCCCAGAAAGGCAGUGGAAACUGAACGGCUGGAGUGCAGUAUGGGUAGAGGGAAGUCCCAGAGUAGCGGUGAAAUGCGUAGAGAUUGGGAAGAACACCGGUGGCGAAAGCGCUCUGCUGGACUGCAACUGACACUGAGGGACGAAAGCUAGGGGAGCGAAAGGG